RNAcentral lists this unclassified non-coding RNA (329 nucleotides) under Hevea brasiliensis (rubber tree). Lineage: Eukaryota; Viridiplantae; Streptophyta; Magnoliopsida; Malpighiales; Euphorbiaceae. The record is from RNAcentral.
AAAAAUCUUUCAUGAGCAGAGUUAAACCCAAUUUCCUGAGAUAACAUUAAAAUAGUAGGAAACUUCUUUACCAAUACCACACUCAGAAAAUAAACAGCUGCAUCUCCCAUCCUCUUCUCAUAAAUAAAUGGGAGGAACAAGACAUAAUGAAAUAAGGUGUACUCGCCCCAUCUUUCCUCAGAAGAAAACAUUUGACGCACAUAUGCAGUCCUUUCUAACUUAAGAUAGCCUUCACAGAUAACAUAGAAUUAAGCCAAAAACAACAACAUGAAACAAUUUACGUACAACAGCGGUUUCACAGGUGAUGAUCAUGCAGGUAUUAAGAUUUU